AACGAACGCUGGCGGCAGGCUUAACACAUGCAAGUCGAACGCCCCGCAAGGGGAGUGGCAGACGGGUGAGUAACGCGUGGGAAUCUACCCAUCUCUACGGAAUAACUCAGGGAAACUUGUGCUAAUACCGUAUACGCCCUUCGGGGGAAAGAUUUAUCGGGGAUGGAUGAGCCCGCGUUGGAUUAGCUAGUUGGUGGGGUAAAGGCCUACCAAGGCGACGAUCCAUAGCUGGUCUGAGAGGAUGAUCAGCCACAUUGGGACUGAGACACGGCCCAAACUCCUAAGGGAGGCAGCAGUGGGGAAUAUUGGACAAUGGGCGCAAGCCUGAUCCAGCCAUGCCGCGUGAGUGAUGAAGGCCUUAGGGUUGUAAAGCUCUUUCACCGGAGAAGAUAAUGACGGUAUCCGGAGAAGAAGCCCCGGCUAACUUCGUGCCAGCAGCCGCCGUAA
Molecule: ribosomal RNA, 447 nt
Filed under: uncultured bacterium
Lineage: Bacteria
Description: partial 16S ribosomal RNA
Rfam family: Bacterial small subunit ribosomal RNA
Source: RNAcentral